RNAcentral lists this ribosomal RNA (460 nucleotides) under uncultured bacterium. RNAcentral describes it as "partial 16S ribosomal RNA". It matches the Rfam family "Bacterial small subunit ribosomal RNA", at positions 338 to 795 of the family's 1533-position model. The record is from RNAcentral.
CCUACGGGUGGCAGCAGUGAGGAAUAUUGGUCAAUGGACGAGAGUCUGAACCAGCCAAGUAGCGUGAAGGAUGACUGCCCUAUGGGUUGUAAACUUCUUUUAUAAAGGAAUAAAACGAGGCACGUGUGCCUUUUUGCAUGUACUUUAUGAAUAAGGAUCGGCUAACUCCGUGCCAUCAGCCGCGGUAAUACGGAGGAUCCGAGCGUUAUUCGGAUUUUUUUGGUUUAAAGGGAGCGUAGAUGGGGUGUUAAGGCAGUUGUGAAAGUUUGCGGCUCAACCGUAAAAUUGCAAUUGAUACUGGCAGUCUUGAGUACAGUUGAGGUAGGCGGAAUUCGUGGUGUAGCGGUGAAAUGCUUAGAUAUCACGAAGAACCCCGAUUGCGAAGGCAGCUUACUAAACUGUGACUGACAUUGAGGCUCGAAAGUGUGGGUAUCAAACAGGAUUAGAUACCCCAGUAGUC